CAAGAGAUGCUUGAAAAGAGGCGUAGAGAAUAGUGAGUGUCUGUUGUGGAAUCUUCCUGUGUAAUACUUUAGAAAACAAAGUAUCAUGGUGCUUUCUAACUCCAGAGUUCUUUGAACGUGUUUGACAAACUUUACCAACACCCUAUGGAGAGAGACCACUUCUCCAGUUUGUCAAGAUCGUUUUGAAUUCUAAUCCUGUCCUCCAAAGCACUUGCAACCCCUCCCAGGAACAUGCAACUCCAAAGGCAAGUGAGCUACCAGCUGAGUACCUUACACAUUCCAGCACUGCAAGUGUGAUAGUCCAUCAAGGUCAUGCCCUAGUUUUGAACUCCUGUAAAAACUACAGAAAUAGCUGCAUAACAUUUUUACAUACUUAGACCAUAAAAGGCUUAUUUGAA
This is a long non-coding RNA of Mauremys mutica (yellowpond turtle), 398 nucleotides long. RefSeq lists it as uncharacterized. The record is from RefSeq and is a predicted model, not a curated record. The transcript has 3 exons. Lineage: Eukaryota; Metazoa; Chordata; Testudines; Geoemydidae.